CGACCACGCGCGGGAGAGUCCCCGGUCACCGGGGCGCCGAAGGAGCAAGUCCUCCCUUGAAUCUCUCAGGCCCCGCACCGCGCGCGGGAG
Streptomyces sp. MP131-18 is the source of this 90-nucleotide regulatory RNA element. It matches the Rfam family "Glycine riboswitch aptamer". From Rfam's summary of the family: This family represents the bacterial glycine riboswitch. Glycine riboswitches usually consist of two metabolite-binding aptamers domains with similar structures in tandem. Lineage: Bacteria; Bacillati; Actinomycetota; Actinomycetes; Kitasatosporales; Streptomycetaceae. The record is from Rfam.